This 253-nucleotide ribosomal RNA is filed under the name uncultured bacterium. RNAcentral describes it as "partial 16S ribosomal RNA". It matches the Rfam family "Bacterial small subunit ribosomal RNA", at positions 524 to 776 of the family's 1533-position model. The record is from RNAcentral.
UACGUAGGGUUCGAGCGUUGUCCGGAAUUACUGGGCGUAAAGAGCUCGUAGGUGGUUUGUCGCGUUGUCCGUGAAAACUCACAGCUUAACUGUGGGCGUGCGGGCGAUACGGGCAGACUGGAGUACUGCAGGGGAGACUGGAAUUCCUGGUGUAGCGGUGGAAUGCGCAGAUAUCAGGAGGAACACCGGUGGCGAAGGCGGGUCUCUGGGCAGUAACUGACGCUGAGGAGCGAAAGCGUGGGGAGCGAACAGG